UAGAACCCACAAAGGGUG
RNAcentral lists this small nuclear RNA (18 nucleotides) under Arabidopsis thaliana (thale cress). RNAcentral's name for it is "snRNA_05778". Lineage: Eukaryota; Viridiplantae; Streptophyta; Magnoliopsida; Brassicales; Brassicaceae. The record is from RNAcentral.